AGCGUUGUUCGGAUUCAUUGGGCGUAAAGGGUGCGUAGGCGGCGCGGUAAGUCGGGUGUGAAAUCUCGGAGCUUAACUCCGAAACUGCAUUCGAUACUGCCGUGCUUGAGGACUGGAGAGGAGACUGGAAUUUACGGUGUAGCGGUGAAAUGCGUAGAUAUCGUAAGGAAGACCAGUCGCGAAGGCGGGUCUCUGGACAGUUCCUGACGCUGAGGCACGAAGGUCAGGGGAGCAAACGGG
This 240-nucleotide ribosomal RNA is filed under the name uncultured bacterium. Its description in RNAcentral is "partial 16S ribosomal RNA". It matches the Rfam family "Bacterial small subunit ribosomal RNA", at positions 537 to 776 of the family's 1533-position model. The record is from RNAcentral.